GUAUCCUGGCUCAGGAUGAACGCUGGCGGCGUGCCUAACACAUGCAAGUCGAACGGAGGCUGCCUUGAUGAAGUUUUCGGAUGGAUUUAAAGCAGCUUAGUGGCGGACGGGUGAGUAACGCGUGGGUAACCUGCCUCACACUGGGGGAUAACAGUUAGAAAUAGCUGCUAAUACCGCAUAAGCGCACGGUUCCGCAUGGAACAGUGUGAAAACUCCGUUGGUGUGAGAUGGACCCGCGU
This 239-nucleotide ribosomal RNA is filed under the name uncultured bacterium. RNAcentral's name for it is "partial 16S ribosomal RNA". It matches the Rfam family "Bacterial small subunit ribosomal RNA", at positions 14 to 236 of the family's 1533-position model. The record is from RNAcentral.